This 553-nucleotide long non-coding RNA is filed under the name Nicotiana benthamiana. RNAcentral's name for it is "long non-coding RNA (NBEN_LNC024029)". Lineage: Eukaryota; Viridiplantae; Streptophyta; Magnoliopsida; Solanales; Solanaceae. The record is from RNAcentral.
UGAGGGCAUGUGACUCAGGAAGGAAAAGUAAGUCUUCACCUCUGUUAGAGUAAAUAGAGUGAGCACGAGUUGUCAGGGCAGUAGAGUCUCAAUCUAGGGUAUGUCUGUCGCAUUUCUUAGGUUGUUUCGUCAAAAUGGCGAGUGUGACAUAACUUGGGGUAAUACAUCAAACGGUUAGGGCCAGAAGUGUGGUUUAACUUUCUCGAGGACGAGCAAAGUUUUAAGUGUGGGGUGUUGAUAAUAGAUGAAUUUAACUAUAUUCAGGCCCUAAAUAACUACCUUCUUGAAUAGUUUUGAUAGUAAAAGUGAUAACAAAAUGCUCUUAUCAGUGCUUUUCAUGAUUUGUAGGUUAUAUAUGAACAUGGAAGGCUAGGAGUACUUUUGGAGUCCAAAAAUGAAGAAAAUGAGGCCAACAGUGAAAUUUCCCAAGUGAACCACGCAAAACAGGCUGAAGAAUCAGAGAACAGGUUCUACCGCGGUUCCACCGCAACCGCGACAGAACGGCGGUGAAGAAUGCUCGCGAACAAACUGAGAUUCAGAGAGUUCAAUUGGC